GAGGCAGCCUCUCUCUCCAUUUUGCGAAAUGCACAAAUAAUAUGUAGCCAUAAACUGCUGUGAGCAAUAGCUUGUGGAUAAUCCACAGGCCCCACUUCAUUCUUUGUAUACUAUCAUCACCAUCAAUGAACAGUGGGACCCCAAAUCCAAAAACAUAAAUUCCCUUAAAAAGUAUAUCCACACCCACAAUGAUUCCUGAGACAGCGAAAAUACGGGUUAAAGUUUCCAAUCCACUUGCAUAACUAUCCUGGAGCAAGAAAGCCAUUAAGCUAAUUUCCAAGCACAGCAUUGCGGAACCUGUGAACAAUGACAGGAAAUUCCAAGCAAUCUCCUUCCCAGGAGAACAUUGCCAAGCCUGUUCAUCAAGGAGAAGCAUAAAAAUUAAAUACAAGACAAAAAAAUUUACAAAAGUCAGAUUUCCACAUCUCUAAACAUCAUGAGAGAUUCAGGUAUGAGAGAGAGAGAAAAUUUCUAUCGUUUUUCUAAAUCCCAUGCCUUUGAUAUACCAUUACUCCCUCAAAGGAUAGUUCAGUGGCUCCCUUGAUGAAGUUAUUUGAACAAUAUUACCCCCUGCAAAAACAUCACUUCCCAAUUCCAUGAAAUGGAGGAACCUUCACGUUGGCUUUUCAAAGCAUAAUAAAGGAAAGAACUUUACAGCUUCAAUGUUACUUCAGUCUCUACACACAAGGAACAAAACUCACAGCAAUGCUAAACAAUAAUGUCAGUCUCAGCCAAGUAAAGCAAUUCAUCACUGGUUUUAGAAUCCCAAUAACAAAAAUGACAAAAACUAAAAACAUAAAACAUCCAAAUCCUCCAAAUUUUCUUCUUCUCGCCACACUUUCUCCCUAAAUCCACUUACAAUUCCACUUUGCUCAAACUCCACACAUUUCAAGCAAUCAGAAACAACAAUAUCUUCAAUUUUCUGCAAUUUAACCGAAAAUCAUAAGAAAAAUUAGAAGAGAAAGGGACCUGAAGACAGCACCAAGCGAGAUUGAGAGAGCUAGCCAACCAGAGAAGGGUAUAAUAGGAAAUCAUUAUGUAGGACCUCCCAUUCCAUAGCUUCCUCAAAUUCUUCUUCGCGUUGAUCCCCAAGUACACCACGAAUAGGAUAGCCGGCAACACUAAAACAACACUGUACCAUGCCCCUUGACAUUUCCGGCCGCCGAUGGCAGGAAUGGUAUGGUCAGGCUGGAAGUCGAUUGUGGCGGGCGAAUCGGUGCUUUUUGGCGCUAGAAAAGGAGAAGUUGGGUUGGCGAUUGUUUGGAGAUUCAUUUGAUAAUGGUUUCUUCGAAAGAAGAACACUCAGAGCUGCAAACACCCUAGAUUGGAUGGCUUCGAUCGCAUUUUAGAGGAGAUCAUGGAAAUACUUCGUUCACAGAACCCAUACAGAGAUCGAAAGACCAGCAGAAAUCGGGUACGGAGUUUUCUAAAGGUG
This 1435-nucleotide unclassified non-coding RNA is filed under the name Hevea brasiliensis (rubber tree). Lineage: Eukaryota; Viridiplantae; Streptophyta; Magnoliopsida; Malpighiales; Euphorbiaceae. The record is from RNAcentral.